UAUUUAUAAAAUAAAUCCCUAAAAUCUAAAACAGGGAGAAAGUAAAGUAGCCUUUUUCUCCGACCACGAGAACCCAUCGAUCGACCACGAACGCCAAUACAGGUUCCAUCUUCAUCGACCACGGGUAUUGUUCGAUGUUCCAUCUUCUCCGACCAUGGCCAUCAAUCGAGGAGCAAGCUGAGAUUUAGAUAUAUGGAUAUAUGGUCUAAAAAAUCUCAGCUGGAAUCCAAGCUUGCUCCUCGCUCGAAGACGUCAUAUAGAAGAUGCAAUUAAUCGAUGGCUGAGAUCGGAGAUAGAGAACCUCAAACGAUCGUCUUCUUUGGAGAAGAUUGAAUCUCUUGUCUUCUCCCUAGAGAGUUCGUCCCUCUCUAGUCUCCAGUGUGUUUUCUCAAUCUUGUUUCUGAGUUUUUGUUUUCAAAAGUAAUGAUAUGUUCAUUUUGUUUUCCUUUGAAUUAUUAUUAGAUUUAAUAAAAGAAAGUUUAUGUUUUUUUUUU
Cannabis sativa is the source of this 494-nucleotide long non-coding RNA. RefSeq lists it as uncharacterized. NCBI's taxonomy places the organism in Eukaryota, Viridiplantae, Streptophyta, Magnoliopsida, Rosales, Cannabaceae. The record is from RefSeq and is a predicted model, not a curated record. The transcript has 2 exons.